GACGAACGCUGGCGGCGUGCCUAACACAUGCAAGUCGAACGAAAAGGCCAGGAGUUUGCUUUUCUGAUGAUAGCCGAGGGGGGGAGAGUCACAUGUGGAUCACCUACCUAUAAGACUGGGAUAAUUUCGAGAAACCGGAUAUUAUAGCAGAUAAUAUUUUGAACCGCGUGGGGCAAUAGUGAAAGACGGUCUUUCUGUCACGUAUAGAUGGAUCCGCGCUGCAUUAGAUAGUUGGUCAGGUAACAGCUUAUUACGGCUAGGAUGCGUAGCCGACCUGAGAGACUGAUCGCCGACCCGGGAGGUGAGACACGGUCCUGACUCCUGCGAGAGGCAGCAGUAUGGAAUCUUCCGCAAUGGUCGAGAGCCUGACAGAGCAACGCCGCGUGAGUGAUGACGGUCUUCGGAUCGUAAAGCUCUGUUAUGAGUGAAGAACAGAUGUGUAAUUAACUGUGCAGAUCUUGACGGUACCGAGUCAGAAAGCCACGGCUAACUACGUG
This 497-nucleotide ribosomal RNA is filed under the name uncultured bacterium. Its description in RNAcentral is "partial 16S ribosomal RNA". It matches the Rfam family "Bacterial small subunit ribosomal RNA", at positions 28 to 507 of the family's 1533-position model. The record is from RNAcentral.